ACACAUGCAAGUCGAGGGGAAACGGCAUUAAGUGCUUGCACUUUUUGGACGUCGACCGGCGCACGGGUGAGUAACGCGUAUCCAACCUGCCCCUUACCAGGGAAUAACCCGUUGAAAGACGGACUAAUGCCCUAUGCAGUCCUUUGACGGCAUCAGAUUAGGACUAAAGAUUCAUCGGUAUGGGAUGGGGAUGCGUCUGAUUAGCUUGUUGGCGGGGUAACGGCCCACCAAGGCAUCGAUCAGUAGGGGUUCUGAGAGGAAGGUCCCCCACAUAGGAACUGAGACACGGUCCUAACUCCUACGGGAGGCAGCAGUGAGGAAUAUUGGUCAAUGGGCGCUAGCCUGAACCAGCCAAGUAGCGUGCAGGAUGACGGCCCUAUGGGUUGUAAACUGCUUUUAUGCGGGGAUAAAGUCACCCACGUGUGGUGUUUGCAGGUACCGCAUGAAUAAGGACCGGCUAAUUCCGUGCCAGCAGCCGCGGUAAUACGGAAGGUCCGGGCGUUAUCCGGAUUUAUUGGGUUUAAAGGGAGUGUAGGCGGCCUGUUAAGCGUGUUGUGAAAUGUAGAUGCUCAACAUCUGAACUGCAGCGCGAACUGGCUGGCUUGAGUACACGCAACGUGGGCGGAAUUCAUGGUGUAGCGGUGAAAUGCUUAGAUAUCAUGAGGAACUCCUAUUGCGAAGGCAGCUCACGGGAGUGUCACUGACGCUUAAGCUCGAAGGUGCGGGUAUCAAACAGGAUUAGAUACCCUGGUAGUCCGCACGGUAAACGAUGGAUGCCCGCUGUUGGCGCUUUGCGUCAGCGGCUAAGCGAAAGCAUUAAGCAUCCCACCUGGGGAGUACGCCGGCA
RNAcentral lists this ribosomal RNA (847 nucleotides) under uncultured bacterium. RNAcentral describes it as "bacterial SSU rRNA". It matches the Rfam family "Bacterial small subunit ribosomal RNA", at positions 51 to 890 of the family's 1533-position model. The record is from RNAcentral.